CUCAAAGGAACCGACGGGGGCCCGCAUAAGCAGCGGAGCGUGUGGUUUAAUUCGAUGAUACACGAAGAACCUUACCAGGGUUUGACAUACAAGUGGUAGUGAAACGAAAGUGGAACGACCCUUCGGGGAGCUUGAACAGGUGCUGCACGGCUGUCGUCAGCUCGUGUCGUGAGAUGUUCGGUUAAGUCCGCUAACGAGCGCAACCCUUGUCGUGUGUUACACGUAUCACGCGAGACCGCCGGUAGAAAGCCGGAGGAAGGUGGGGAUGACGUCAAGUCAGCAUGGCCUUUAUAUCCUGGGCUACACACACGCUACAAUGGGUGGUACAGUGGGAAGCGAAAGCGCGAGCUGGAGCGAAUCCUCCAAAGCCAUCCUCAGUUCAGAUUGCAGGCUGCAACUCGCCUGCAUGAAGAUGGAGUUGCUAGUAAACGCAGGUCAGCGAUACUGCGUUGAAUACGUUCCCGGGCCUUGUACACACCGCCCGUC
RNAcentral lists this ribosomal RNA (486 nucleotides) under uncultured bacterium. Its description in RNAcentral is "bacterial SSU rRNA". It matches the Rfam family "Bacterial small subunit ribosomal RNA", at positions 900 to 1398 of the family's 1533-position model. The record is from RNAcentral.